GCCAAAGUGUCCGAAGGGGUACAAGGUCAAGAAGUGAUCGCGGGGUCUUACGAGGAGGACUUAAAAUCCUCCCAGUGUGGGUUCGACCCCCACUCGGGGCACCA
RNAcentral lists this transfer RNA (104 nucleotides) under Actinomycetota bacterium. Its description in RNAcentral is "Actinobacteria bacterium tRNA-Ser". Lineage: Bacteria; Bacillati; Actinomycetota. The record is from RNAcentral.